RNAcentral lists this ribosomal RNA (450 nucleotides) under uncultured bacterium. Its description in RNAcentral is "partial 16S ribosomal RNA". It matches the Rfam family "Bacterial small subunit ribosomal RNA", at positions 338 to 795 of the family's 1533-position model. The record is from RNAcentral.
CCUACGGGCGGCUGCAGUGAGGAAUAUUGGUCAAUGGAGGAAACUCUGAACCAGCCAUGCCGCGUGGAGGAUGAAGGUCCUCUGGAUUGUAAACUCCUUUUAUAAAAGAAGAAACCCCAUUUUUCUAAAUGGGUUGACGGUACUUUAUGAAUAAGCACCGGCUAACUCCGUGCCAGCAGCCGCGGUAAUACGGAGGGUGCAAGCGUUAUCCGGAUUCACUGGGUUUAAGGGGAGUGGGUAAGUGAGUGGUGAAAUCUCCGAGCUUAACUUGGAAACUGCCAUUGAUACUAUCGAUCUUGAAUACUGUGGAGGUAAGCGGAAUAUAUCAUGUAGCGGUGAAAUGCUUAGAUAUGAUAUAGAACACCAAUAGCGAAGGCAGCUUACUACGCAGUUAUUGACACUGAGGCUCGAAAGCGUGGGGAUCAAACAGGAUUAGAUACCCGAGUAGUC